RNAcentral lists this transfer RNA (71 nucleotides) under Avahi laniger (woolly lemur). RNAcentral describes it as "tRNA-Phe". It matches the Rfam family "tRNA". Rfam says of the family: Transfer RNA (tRNA) molecules are approximately 80 nucleotides in length. Their secondary structure includes four short double-helical elements and three loops (D, anti-codon, and T loops). Lineage: Eukaryota; Metazoa; Chordata; Mammalia; Primates; Indriidae. The record is from RNAcentral. RNAcentral also lists the same sequence under 1 other name.
GUUAGCGUAGCUUAAUUAAUCUAAAGCGAAGCACUGAAAAUGCUUAGAUGGGUUGACUAACCCCGCAAACA